UGAGGAAAAGGAACCAACAGGGAUUGCCCCCAGUAGCGGCGAGUGAAGCGGCAAGAGCUCAGAUUUGAAAUCGUGCCAAUUUUUUUGGCACGAGUUGUAGAGUGUAGGCGGGAGUCUUUGUGGAGCACGGUGUCCAAGUCCCUUGGAACAGGGCGCCUGAGAGGGUGAGAGCCCCGUGGGGUGUCGUGCGAAGCUUUGAGGCCCUGCUGACGAGUCGAGUUGUUUGGGAAUGCAGCUCCAAGUGGGUGGUAAAUUCCAUCUAAGGCUAAAUACUGGCGAGAGACCGAUAGCGAACAAGUACUGUGAAGGAAAGAUGAAAAGCACUUUGAAAAGAGAGUGAAACAGCACGUGAAAUUGUUGAAAGGGAAGGGUAUUGGGCCCGACAUGGGGAGUGCGCACCGCUGUCUCUUGUAGGCGGCGCUCUGGGCGCUCUCUGGGCCAGCAUCGGUUCUUGCUGCGGGAGAAUGGGUGCCGGAAAGUGGCUCUUCGGAGUGUUAUAGCCGGCGCCAGAUACCGCGUGCGGGGACCGAGGACUGCGGCUUCUGUCUCGGAUGCUGGCACAACGGCGCAAUACCGCCCG
RNAcentral lists this ribosomal RNA (580 nucleotides) under Pichia membranifaciens. RNAcentral's name for it is "partial large subunit ribosomal RNA". It matches the Rfam family "Eukaryotic large subunit ribosomal RNA", at positions 52 to 651 of the family's 3401-position model. Lineage: Eukaryota; Fungi; Ascomycota; Pichiomycetes; Pichiales; Pichiaceae. The record is from RNAcentral.